GAUGAACGCUGGCGGCGUGCCUAUUACAUGCAAGUCGAGCGAACAGACGAGGAGCUUGCUCCUCUGACGUUAGCGGCGGACGGGUGAGUAACACGUGGAUAACCUACCUAUAAGACUGGGAUAACUUCGGGAAACCGGAGCUAAUACCGGAUAAUAUAUUGAACCGCAUGGUUCAAUAGUGAAAGACGGUUUUGCUGUCACUUAUAGAUGGAUCCGCGCCGCAUUAGCUAGUUGGUAAGGUAACGGCUUACCAAGGCAACGAUGCGUAGCCGACCUGAGAGGGUGAUCGGCCACACUGGAACUGAGACACGGUCCAGACUCCUACGGGAGGCAGCAGUAGGGAAUCUUCCGCAAUGGGCGAAAGCUUGACGGAGCAACGCCGCGUGAGUGAUGAAGGUCUUCGGAUCGUAAAACUCUGUUAUUAGGGAAGAACAAUUGUGUAAGUAACUAUGCACGUCUUGACGGUACCUAAUCAGAAAGCCACGGCUAACUACGUG
RNAcentral lists this ribosomal RNA (497 nucleotides) under uncultured bacterium. RNAcentral's name for it is "partial 16S ribosomal RNA". It matches the Rfam family "Bacterial small subunit ribosomal RNA", at positions 28 to 507 of the family's 1533-position model. The record is from RNAcentral.